RNAcentral lists this ribosomal RNA (253 nucleotides) under uncultured bacterium. RNAcentral's name for it is "partial 16S ribosomal RNA". It matches the Rfam family "Bacterial small subunit ribosomal RNA", at positions 524 to 776 of the family's 1533-position model. The record is from RNAcentral.
UACGGGGGGGGCAAGCGUUGUUCGGAAUUACUGGGCGUAAAGGGCUCGUAGGUGGCCAACUAAGUCAAUCGUGAAAUCCCUCGGCUCAACCGGGGAACUGCGCUUGAUACUGGAUGGCUUGAGUUUGGGAGAGGGAUGCGGAAUUCCAGGUGUAGCGGUGAAAUGCGUAGAUAUCUGGAGGAACACCGGUGGCGAAGGCGGCAUCCUGGACCAACACUGACACUGAGGAGCGAAAGCCAGGGGAGCAAACGGG